UAUAAAAUAAACCAUUAUUAUAAUAUUAAUUAAAAAGUUUUAUUCUAGCUAAAUAUUUAUUUGAAUUAUUUUUUAAAUAUAAAUUAAAUAGAUUUAAUUAUAUUAUUUAUUAUAAAAUAUUAGUUUUUAAUUUAAAUUAGAACUAGAAAUAAUUUUAAUAUAAUUAGAUAAUUUUGUGCCAGCAUCUGCGGUUAUACAUAAGAUUAAAGUAAAUAUUAUUAAUUUAUAAACUAAAAAAUUUUUAUUAAAUUUAUUUUUUAAUUUUAUUAGAUAAAAUUUGAAUUUUAUUAUAAAUUUAUUUUAUGAAGUUUUGAAAAAUUGUAUAAUAAACUAGGAUUAGAUACCCUAUUAUUGUAAUGGAAAAAUUUUUAAUUGAGUAGUAAAAAAAAAAAUUAAUUUUUAAACUUAAAGAAUUUGGCGGCAUUUUAUUCUGUUUAGAGGAAUAUGUUUUUAUAAUUUGAUAAUCCACAAAAAUCUUACUUAAUUUAAAGUUUUGUAUAUCUCCGUCAUAAGAAUGUUUUAUAAGAAGUUUUUCUAUAUAUAAUUUAAUAUAAAAUGUCAGGUCAAGGUGCAGAUUAUGAUUAAGAAAAAAUGUAUUACAAUAAAAUUAUUUUUGGUUUUAGUUUUGAAAAAAUUUAAUUAAAUUGGAUUUAAAAGUAAAUAUUUAAAUAUUAUUUUUUUUUGAAAAAGUUUUAAAGUGUGUACAUAUCGCCCGUCACUCUCUUAUUAAUUAGAGAUAAGUCGUAACAAAGUAGAUUUACUGGAAAGUAAAUCUUGAAUAUUAAA
RNAcentral lists this non-coding RNA (786 nucleotides) under Lepidopsocidae sp. RS-2001. The record is from RNAcentral. Lineage: Eukaryota; Metazoa; Arthropoda; Insecta; Psocodea; Lepidopsocidae.